Molecule: ribosomal RNA, 253 nt
Filed under: uncultured bacterium
Lineage: Bacteria
Description: partial 16S ribosomal RNA
Rfam family: Bacterial small subunit ribosomal RNA
Source: RNAcentral
UACAGAGGUCUCAAGCGUUGUUCGGAAUCACUGGGCGUAAAGCGUGCGUAGGCUGUUUCGUAAGUCGUGUGUGAAAGGCGCGGGCUCAACCCGCGGACGGCACAUGAUACUGCGAGACUAGAGUAAUGGAGGGGGAACCGGAAUUCUCGGUGUAGCAGCGAAAUGCGUAGAUAUCGAGAGGAACACUCGUGGCGAAGGCGGGUUCCUGGACAUUAACUGACGCUGAGGCACGAAGGCCAGGGGAGCGAAAGGG